GGUUUCGUGGUGUAGUUGGUAUCAUGUCCUUCUAUUACACUGAAGGUCUCCGGUUCAAGUCCGGGUGAAGCCA
This is a transfer RNA of Ipomoea nil (Japanese morning glory), 73 nucleotides long. It matches the Rfam family "tRNA". From Rfam's summary of the family: Transfer RNA (tRNA) molecules are approximately 80 nucleotides in length. Their secondary structure includes four short double-helical elements and three loops (D, anti-codon, and T loops). Further hydrogen bonds mediate the characteristic L-shaped molecular structure. tRNAs have two regions of fundamental functional importance: the anti-codon, which is responsible for specific mRNA codon recognition, and the 3' end, to which the tRNAs corresponding amino acid is attached (by aminoacyl-tRNA synthetases). tRNAs cope with the degeneracy of the genetic code in two manners: having more than one tRNA (with a specific anti-codon) for a particular amino acid; and 'wobble' base-pairing, i.e. permitting non-standard base-pairing at the 3rd anti-codon position. The record is from Rfam. Lineage: Eukaryota; Viridiplantae; Streptophyta; Magnoliopsida; Solanales; Convolvulaceae.